AGGCUUAGUUGAGUAGUUGAGUAGAUCGGAUUUAUCCCUUUUGAGGCUUUGACUCCUUGUUGCAUACUCUUCUUUUGACCUUAUUCAUAUGGCCAAGCAUUAUAGUACUUGGUGAAAAAUGGCCUUCAGUUUGAUAGUACAAGAACUAAUACUGUUGAAGCAUACUUGAGUUUGUGCUUAUAAAUUUUCAAAUUACUACCAGUAGAGGGCAACUUUACUGUAUAUAUUUACUAUUUGAUUGUGAGUUUGCCUCUAUAUAUUGCUUUAUGUGGAGUUGUUUUAUAUGUUUAUUUAACAUGUGUGCAGAUUAUUUUGGUUACUCAUCCCUGGACGGUGAUCUACGUGAAUCCCUAAAGUACAUUCACAACUUGUAUGUUGAAUAUGUUGUCAAAAAACCCCUCUAUACUCCUGGAACUCCUAUC
RNAcentral lists this unclassified non-coding RNA (422 nucleotides) under Hevea brasiliensis (rubber tree). The record is from RNAcentral. Lineage: Eukaryota; Viridiplantae; Streptophyta; Magnoliopsida; Malpighiales; Euphorbiaceae.